ACACGACUACAUUAGAUACCCCCUGUAGUCCUGGCCGUAAACGAUGUGGACUUGGUGUUGGAAUGGCUCCGAGCUGCUCCAGUGCCGAAGGGAAGCUGUUAAGUCCACCGCCUGGGAAGUACGGUCGCGAGACUGAAACUUAAAGGAAUUGGCGGGGGAGCACCACAACGCGUGGAGCCUGCGGUUUAAUUGGAUUCAACGCCGGAAAUCUUACCGGGACCGACAGCAACAUGAAGGCCAAGCUGAAGACUUUGCCGGAUUAGCUG
This 266-nucleotide ribosomal RNA is filed under the name uncultured archaeon. Its description in RNAcentral is "partial 16S ribosomal RNA". It matches the Rfam family "Archaeal small subunit ribosomal RNA", at positions 717 to 982 of the family's 1478-position model. The record is from RNAcentral.